UACCAGACUCCUACGGGAGGCAGCAGUGAGGGAUAUUGGGCAAUGGGGGAAACCCUGACCCAGCGACGCCGCGUGGGUGAAGAAGCGCCUCGGUGCGUAAAGCCCUAUCGGCAGGGAAGAAACAGACGGUACCUGACUAAGAAGCCCCGGCUAACUACGUGCCAGCAGCCGCGGUAAUACGUAGGGGGCAAGCGUUAUCCGGAUUCACUGGGUGUAAAGGGAGCGUAGACGGCGACGCAAGUCUGGAGUGAAAGCCCGGGGCCCAACCCCGGGACUGCUCUGGAAACUGCGUCGCUGGAGUACGGGAGGGGCAGGCGGAAUUCCUGGUGUAGCGGUGAAAUGCGUAGAUAUCAGGAGGAACACCGGUGGCGAAGGCGGCCUGCUGGACUGCAACUGACGUUGAGGCCCGAAAGCGUGGGGAGCAAACAGGAUUAGAUACCCUUGUA
Molecule: ribosomal RNA, 446 nt
Filed under: uncultured bacterium
Lineage: Bacteria
Description: bacterial SSU rRNA
Rfam family: Bacterial small subunit ribosomal RNA
Source: RNAcentral